This 497-nucleotide ribosomal RNA is filed under the name uncultured bacterium. RNAcentral's name for it is "partial 16S ribosomal RNA". It matches the Rfam family "Bacterial small subunit ribosomal RNA", at positions 28 to 507 of the family's 1533-position model. The record is from RNAcentral.
GACGAACGCUGGCGGCGUGCCUAAUACAUGCAAGUUGAGCGAUGAAGAUUGGUGCUUGCCCCAAUUUGAAGAGCAGCGAACGGGUGAGUAACGCGUGGGGAAUCUGCCUUUGAGCGGGGGACAACAUUUGGAAACGAAUGCUAAUACCGCAUAAUAACUUUAAACAUAAGUUUUAAGUUUGAAAGAUGCAAUUGCAUCACUCAAAGAUGAUCCCGCGUUGUAUUAGCUAGUUGGUGAGGUAAAGGCUCACCAAGGCGAUGAUACAUAGCCGACCUGAGAGGGUGAUCGGCCACAUUGGGACUGAGACACGGCCCAAACUCCUACGGGAGGCAGCAGUAGGGAAUCUUCGGCAAUGGACGAAAGUCUGACCGAGCAACGCCGCGUGAGUGAAGAAGGUUUUCGGAUCGUAAAACUCUGUUGGUAGAGAAGAACGGUGGUGAGAGUGGAAAGCUCAUCAAGUGACGGUAACUACCCAGAAAGGGACGGCUAACUACGUG